Molecule: ribosomal RNA, 1442 nt
Filed under: uncultured organism
Description: 16S ribosomal RNA
Rfam family: Bacterial small subunit ribosomal RNA
Source: RNAcentral
CAGGCUUAACACAUGCAAGUCGAGGGGCAUCAGGAAGAAAGCUUGCUUUCUUUGCUGGCGACCGGCGCACGGGUGAGUAACACGUAUCCAACCUGCCCUUUACUCGGGGAUAGCCUUUCGAAAGAAAGAUUAAUACCCGAUAGCAUAAUGAUUCCGCAUGGUUUCAUUAUUAAAGGAUUCCGGUAAAGGAUGGGGAUGCGUUCCAUUAGGUUGUUGGUGAGGUAACGGCCCACCAAGCCUUCGAUGGAUAGGGGUUCUGAGAGGAAGGUCCCCCACAUUGGAACUGAGACACGGUCCAAACUCCUACGGGAGGCAGCAGUGAGGAAUAUUGGUCAAUGGGCGCUAGCCUGAACCAGCCAAGUAGCGUGAAGGAUGAAGGCUCUAUGGGUCGUAAACUUCUUUUAUAUAAGAAUAAAGUGCAGUAUGUAUACUGUUUUGUAUGUAUUAUAUGAAUAAGGAUCGGCUAACUCCGUGCCAGCAGCCGCGGUAAUACGGAGGAUCCGAGCGUUAUCCGGAUUUAUUGGGUUUAAAGGGAGCGUAGGUGGACUGGUAAGUCAGUUGUGAAAGUUUGCGGCUCAACCGUAAAAUUGCAGUUGAUACUGUCAGUCUUGAGUACAGUAGAGGUGGGCGGAAUUCGUGGUGUAGCGGUGAAAUGCUUAGAUAUCACGAAGAACUCCGAUUGCGAAGGCAGCUCACUGGACUGCAACUGACACUGAUGCUCGAAAGUGUGGGUAUCAAACAGGAUUAGAUACCCUGGUAGUCCACACAGUAAACGAUGAAUACUCGCUGUUUGCGAUAUACAGUAAGCGGCCAAGCGAAAGCAUUAAGUAUUCCACCUGGGGAGUACGCCGGCAACGGUGAAACUCAAAGGAAUUGACGGGGGCCCGCACAAGCGGAGGAACAUGUGGUUUAAUUCGAUGAUACGCGAGGAACCUUACCCGGGCUUAAAUUGCAGUGGAAUGAUGUGGAAACAUGUCAGUGAGCAAUCACCGCUGUGAAGGUGCUGCAUGGUUGUCGUCAGCUCGUGCCGUGAGGUGUCGGCUUAAGUGCCAUAACGAGCGCAACCCUUAUCUUUAGUUACUAACAGGUUAUGCUGAGGACUCUGGAGAGACUGCCGUCGUAAGAUGUGAGGAAGGCGGGGAUGACGUCAAAUCAGCACGGCCCUUACGUCCGGGGCUACACACGUGUUACAAUGGGGGGUACAGAAGGCAGCUACCUGGUGACAGGAUGCUAAUCCCAAAAGCCUCUCUCAGUUCGGAUCGAAGUCUGCAACCCGACUUCGUGAAGCUGGAUUCGCUAGUAAUCGCGCAUUAGCCACGGCGCGGUGAAUACGUUCCCGGGCCUUGUACACACCGCCCGUCAAGCCAUGGGAGCCGGGGGUACCUGAAGUACGUAACCGCAAGGAUCGUCCUAGGGUAAAACUGGUGACUGGGGCUAAGUCG